This 1058-nucleotide ribosomal RNA is filed under the name uncultured Bacteroidota bacterium. RNAcentral describes it as "bacterial SSU rRNA". It matches the Rfam family "Bacterial small subunit ribosomal RNA", at positions 9 to 1064 of the family's 1533-position model. Lineage: Bacteria; Pseudomonadati; Bacteroidota. The record is from RNAcentral.
GAGUUUGAUCCUGGCUCAGGAUGAACGCUAGCGGCAGGCCUAACACAUGCAAGUCGAGGGGCAUCACGGAAAAGCUUGCUUUUCUGGUGGCGACCGGCGCACGGGUGCGGAACGCGUAUGGAACCUGCCCCUGUCAGGGGAAUAGCCCAGGGAAACUUGGAUUAAUGCCCCAUGGUACCGUUAUAUCGCAUGAUAUUGCGGUUAAAGAUUUAUCGGACAGGGAUGGCCAUGCGUACCAUUAGUUAGUUGGUGAGGUAACGGCUCACCAAGGCAGCGAUGGUUAGGGGCCCUGAGAGGGGGAUCCCCCACACUGGUACUGAGACACGGACCAGACUCCUACGGGAGGCAGCAGUGAGGAAUAUUGGACAAUGGGCGGGAGCCUGAUCCAGCCAUGCCGCGUGCAGGAUGACGGCCCUAUGGGUUGUAAACUGCUUUUAUACGGGAAGAAACGCGCCCACGUGUGGGCGUUUGACGGUACCGUAAGAAUAAGGACCGGCUAACUCCGUGCCAGCAGCCGCGGUAAUACGGAGGGUCCGAGCGUUAUCCGGAAUCAUUGGGUUUAAAGGGUCCGUAGGCGGGCCUGUAAGUCAGGGGUGAAAGUUUGUGGCUCAACCAUAAAAUUGCCUUUGAUACUGCAGGUCUUGAGUCAUGGUGGGGUUGCCGGAACAUGUGGUGUAGCGGUGAAAUGCAUAGAUAUCACAUAGAACACCGAUCGCGAAGGCAGGUGACCAACCAUGUGCUGACGCUGAUGGACGAAAGCGUGGGUAGCGAACGGGAUUAGAUACCCCGGUAGUCCACGCCGUAAACGAUGGAUACUGGCUGUGGGGUUUUCGGACUCCGUGGCCAAGCGAAAGUGAUAAGUAUCCCACCUGGGGAGUACGUUCGCAAGAAUGAAACUCAAAGGAAUUGACGGGGGCCCGCACAAGCGGUGGAGCAUGUGGUUUAAUUCGAUGAUACGCGAGGAACCUUACCAGGGCUUAAAUGCAGGCUGCAUGGGGUAGAGAUACCCCUUUCUUCGGACCGCCUGCAAGGUGCUGCAUGGUUGUCGUCAGCUCGUG